GAUGAACGCUGGCGGCGUGCCUAAUACAUGCAAGUCGAGCGAACAGACGAGGAGCUUGCUCCUCUGACGUUAGCGGCGGACGGGUGAGUAACACGUGGAUAACCUACCUAUAAGACUGGGAUAACUUCGGGAAACCGGAGCUAAUACCGGAUAAUAUAUUGAACCGCAUGGUUCAAUAGUGAAAUACGGUUUUGCUGUCACUUAUAGAUGGAUCAGCGCCGCAUUAGCUAGUUGGUAAGGUAACGGCUUACCAAGGCAACGAUGCGUAGCCGACCUGAGAGGGUGGUCGGCCACACUAGAACUGAGACAGGGUCGAGACUCCUACGGGAGGAAGCAGUAGGGAAUCCUACGCAAUGGGCGAAAGCCUGACGGAGCAACGCCGCGUGAGUGAUGAAGGUCUUCGGAUCGGAAAGCUCUGUUAUUAGGGGAGAACAAAUGUGUAAGUAACUAUGCACGUAUUGACGGUACCUAAUCAGAAAGCCACGGCUAACUACGUG
RNAcentral lists this ribosomal RNA (497 nucleotides) under uncultured bacterium. RNAcentral's name for it is "partial 16S ribosomal RNA". It matches the Rfam family "Bacterial small subunit ribosomal RNA", at positions 28 to 507 of the family's 1533-position model. The record is from RNAcentral.